AGAGUUUGAUCCUGGCUCAGAUUGAACGCUGGCGGCAGGCCUAACACAUGCAAGUCGAACGGUAACAGGAAGAAGCUUGCUUCUUUGCUGACGAGUGGCGGACGGGUGAGUAAUGUCUGGGAAACUGCCUGAUGGAGGGGGAUAACUACUGGAAACGGUAGCUAAUACCGCAUAACGUCGCAAGACCAAGGAGGGGGACCUUCGGGCCUCUUGCCAUCGGAUGUGCCCAGAUGGGAUUAGCUAGUAGGUGGGGUAACGGCUCACCUAGGCGACGAUCCCUAGCUGGUCUGAGAGGAUGACCAGCCACACUGGAACUGAGACACGGUCCAGACUCCUACGGGAGGCAGCAGUGGGGAAUAUUGCACAAUGGGCGCAAGCCUGAUGCAGCCAUGCCGCGUGUAUGAAGAAGGCCUUCGGGUUGUAAAGUACUUUCAGCGGGGAGGAAGGGAGUAAAGUUAAUACCUUUGCUCAUUGACGUUACCCGCAGAAGAAGCACCGGCUAACUCCGUGCCAGCAGCCGCGGUAAUACGGAGGGUGCAAGCGUUAAUCGGAAUUACUGGGCGUAAAGCGCACGCAGGCGGUUUGUUAAGUCAGAUGUGAAAUCCCCGGGCUCAACCUGGGAAACUGCAUCUGAUACUGGCAGCUUGAGUCUCGUAGAGGGGGUAGAAUUUCAAGUGUAGCGGUGAAAUGGCGUANGAUCUGAGAUACCGGUGGCGAAGCCGNCCCCUGGACGAANCUGACGCUCAGUGCGAAGNNGGGNANCAACANGAUUAGAUACCUGGUAGUCCACGCCCGUAACGAUGUCGACUUGGAGUGUGCCCUGGAGGCNNGGCUUCGNNUACCGGUAAGUCGACCGCCUGG
This 861-nucleotide ribosomal RNA is filed under the name uncultured bacterium. Its description in RNAcentral is "bacterial SSU rRNA". It matches the Rfam family "Bacterial small subunit ribosomal RNA", at positions 9 to 873 of the family's 1533-position model. The record is from RNAcentral.